CGCGCCUGAAUUCCUCCGGCGCGUGAAAUCCUGCUCGCAGCGCCUGAAAUCCCCCACGCCCGAUUUCCUUCCCCUCCCAGAACCUUCCAUCGACGCUACGCCAUGAUCCCCUCCACCGGCCAGGAUGGCACCCGACAUCACCCCCUCGCAGCACCUUCAACCCGACAUCUCCACCCCCACGACCAGCAGGCCAGGCGUGGAUCUCGCCCCCACGCCCGGUGAUGGCGCCCAUGCUCCGCCCCCAUACCCAGCGGGCAGCCACGGAUCUCGCUGGGCGAGGAUCUCGCGGAUCACGCUGGAACUGUCGCUCCCAAUCUCUGCAUCGCGUGGACGCCUUCCAUGGAGUCUCUGUACAUAUGCCAGCGCCCGUCCCUCACCCCUGAUCUGCCACUCCCAAUAUCUCCACCCCCACCGCGACGACGAUGCGCAACCCUCGGCCACCACGCUGCCAGCGCCCGUCCCUCACCCCGCACGCUGUGAUCGGACUGCCGCGCUUGGCCCCCAGUCCCAUGAGGUUGCUGCCCCUCCCAUGCCCACUAGCCAUGCCACCAUAGAUCCAGCUAGGGCGGCGUCAUUGCGUUCAAUCCUGUGCGAGAGAAUGCAAAAUCGUCAUCAAACUGAUAUUGACCAGAGGUUCCUCCGCCCAGUUGCAUCAGGUAUCGCUGCCAUUUGCAGUGAUUGUGCUCCAGUUCGGUCGUUUGGGGGAAAAGGGAUCGUAUCUGCUGAAUCCUCGGGCUCAAGGGAUGGUUCUCGACAUGGACGGCUACGUAGACCCCUACGAGGAGGUCGUAGCCGAGGAUGACUCUGACAACCCUGACGAGGACGACUCAAAUGCAGAGAGCAACUACAAGGAUAAGUCGUUCGACCUCCUCAAGUUCGACAAGCACCGGGUGCGCAACCCGGAUGACACCUUCUGUGGCCCCUUCUGCCCCCUGCAAGAAGAGCAGGGGUACAAGAGCAAGCAACUCUGUUGUGUUGAAAACACCAGAGCUGAUUAGGAGAAAUGUGGUUGUCAAGGACCCUGCUGAGGUGUCAAGAUCUCAGGAUGCUGCUGAUGUGCGUACUACAGAGGUGGCUCGUGGACCUGCAGUGGUAGUGGUUGCUUCAGGGCAGCGGGCAACAUGGUGGAAUUGUUGUGGCCUUUUGAUGUUUUUAUUGGUUUAGGGAGAUAGAUGAAGGUAUGAGCUUGGCCGCCAGCCUGCUAACACCAAACUGUCUAGCAAUAAGACAGUGAGGAGGGUCCGUGUCCGUGGAGGCAACACGAAGUGGAGGGCUCUUCGAUUCGAUACAUGUAACUACUCGUGGGGAAGUGAGGCUCUUACCCGCAAGACUCGCAUCCUGGAUGUGGUCUAUAUUGCAACAAACAAUGAGCUUGUGAGGACUCAGACUCUUGUGAAGAGCGCCAUUGUACAAGUUGAUGCUGCUCCAUUCAAGCAGUGGUACCUCACUCACUAUGGAGUGGACAUCGGUAGGAAGAAGAAGGUGUCUGUCGCUAAGAAGGAUGACACUAAGGUAUAUUCAUUCAAUUUAAGGUUUAAUGAGGAUUAAGGACUCACCGUUUUUGCACUUUGGAUUUUGUUUGUUCUGUGUUAUGCUGUACUGUACUGUAAUUGGUUUGUGUAACCAUGUAUCGGUACCAGACACCACAACAAGAACAUGUACAAGAGAUUCUUUAGCAUCCAUUGUGUGCAAAAGCUAGGGUUUGUGGCUGCCUUUUAUUUCGUUUUUCCUCCGUUGUCAUAGGAUGGUACACCACAACAAGAACAUGUACAAUUAUGUCA
Zea mays is the source of this 1781-nucleotide RNA transcript. RefSeq lists it as uncharacterized. The transcript is spliced from 4 exons. The record is from RefSeq and is a predicted model, not a curated record. NCBI's taxonomy places the organism in Eukaryota, Viridiplantae, Streptophyta, Magnoliopsida, Poales, Poaceae.